Molecule: ribosomal RNA, 497 nt
Filed under: uncultured bacterium
Lineage: Bacteria
Description: partial 16S ribosomal RNA
Rfam family: Bacterial small subunit ribosomal RNA
Source: RNAcentral
GAUGAACGCUGGCGGCGUGCCUAAUACAUGCAAGUCGAGCGAACGGACGAGAAGCUUGCUUCUCUGAUGUUAGCGGCGGACGGGUGAGUAACACGUGGAUAACCUACCUAUAAGACUGGGAUAACUUCGGGAAACCGGAGCUAAUACCGGAUAAUAUUUUGAACCGCAUGGUUCAAAAGUGAAAGACGGUCUUGCUGUCACUUAUAGAUGGAUCCGCGCUGCAUUAGCUAGUUGGUAAGGUAACGGCUUACCAAGGCAACGAUGCGUAGCCGACCUGAGAGGGUGAUCGGCCAAACUGGAACUGAGACACGGUCCAGACUCCUACGGGAGGCAGCAGUAGGGAAUCUUCCGCAAUGGGCGAAAGCCUGACGGAGCAACGCCGCGUGAGUGAUGAAGGUCUUCGGAUCGUAAAACUCUGUUAUUAGGGAAGAACAUAUGUGUAAGUAACUGUGCACAUCUUGACGGUACCUAAUCAGAAAGCCACGGCUAACUACGUG